This 358-nucleotide unclassified non-coding RNA is filed under the name soil metagenome. RNAcentral describes it as "partial contains 5.8S ribosomal RNA, internal transcribed spacer 2, and large subunit ribosomal RNA". The stretch from base 1 to 120 matches the Rfam family "5.8S ribosomal RNA", at positions 35 to 154 of the family's 154-position model. The record is from RNAcentral.
GAUGAAGAACGUAGCGAAAUGCGAUAAGUAAUGUGAAUUGCAGAAUUCAGUGAAUCAUCGAAUCUUUGAACGCACAUUGCGCCCGUCAGUAUUCUGGCGGGCAUGCCUGUUCGAGCGUCAUUACGCCCCUCAAGUCCCCUGUGGACUUGGUGUUGGGGUUCGGCGAGGCUGGUUUUCCAGCACAGCCGUCCCUUAAAUUAAUUGGCGGUCUCGCCGUGGCCCUCCUCUGCGCAGUAGUAAAACACUCGCAACAGGAGCCCGGCGCGGUCCACUGCCGUAAAACCCCCCAACUUUUUAUAGUUGACCUCGAAUCAGGUAGGACUACCCGCUGAACUUAAGCAUAUCAAUAAGCGGAGGA